This 411-nucleotide long non-coding RNA is filed under the name Setaria viridis. Its description in RNAcentral is "long non-coding RNA (SVIR_LNC006579)". Lineage: Eukaryota; Viridiplantae; Streptophyta; Magnoliopsida; Poales; Poaceae. The record is from RNAcentral.
AUGGCGACACCUUCAAGCACUCCACCAACAUCCGAGAUCCCGGAGACGACUCCAUCAGCAGCAGCUCCAGCAGCAAUGGCGGCAGCUCCAUCGGCAGGAGUAGGAGCUCCAUCGGCAGGAGCGGGAGCUUCAUUGGCGGGAGCAGGAGCUUCAUUGAUGUCGGAGGCCCCACCGACAGCUUCGGCAUCUGUAGCUCUGCUGGCAAUCCCGCCAACCACGAUGAGCUUUAUACCAGAGGUUCCUACUGAAACUUUCCUUUCCACUUCUUUAUGCCAAUGCAUUUACCUUAGAUCUAUUCUUACUUCCCCUCCAUUCUUUACCUUUUUAGGCAGUUAGGCACCAGAUUACUAUUCGCCUCACCAAAACUCCCGGCCUUAUCUGUCUUGGUCCCAUGGGAAACCCAGAUCCAAC